Molecule: ribosomal RNA, 271 nt
Filed under: uncultured bacterium
Lineage: Bacteria
Description: partial 16S ribosomal RNA
Rfam family: Bacterial small subunit ribosomal RNA
Source: RNAcentral
GACAGAGGUGGCGACCGUUGUUCGGAAUCACUGGGCAUAAAGCGCGUGUAGGCGGCAUCGUAAGUCGGGUGUGAAAUCCCUCGGCCCAACCGAGGAAUUGCGCUCGAAACUACCUUGCUUGAGGACAGGAGGGGAGCCUGGAAUUCCUGGUGGAGCGGUGAAAUGCGUUGAUAUCAGGAGGAACACCGGCGGCGAAGGCGAGGCUCUGGCCUGUUUCUGACGCUGAGACGCGAAAGCUAGGGGAGCAAACGGGAUUAGAUACCCUUGUAGU